UUUAUUAGAAGAGACGCAUUUAUUAGAUAAAAAGCCAGUUCAUGCUUUUACAGUAUGAAAAUUGGUGAUUUAUAAUAACUUAGCAAAUCGCAAAGUGAAAACAGGCGAUAAAUCAUUCAAGUUUCUGACCUAUCAGCUUUCGACGGUAUGGUAUUGGCUUACCGUGGCAGUGACGGUUAACGGGGGAUUAGGGUUCGAUUCCGGAGAGGGAGCCUGAGAAACGGCUACCACAUCUAAGGAAGGCAGCAGGCGCGCAAAUUACCCAAUUCUAACAGUUUGAGAGAGGUAGUAACAAGAAAUAACAAUUCAAGGCAGUUAAAAUGCUUUGUAAUUGGAAUGAUAGAAAUUUAAACCCUUUUUAAAGUAUCAAUUGGAGGGCAAGUCUGGUGCCAGCAGCCGCGGUAAUUCCAGCUCCAAUAGCGUAUAUUAAAAUUGUUGCAGUUAAAAAGCUCGUAGUUGAAGUUCUGCUGAAAGUAACCGGUCUGCUUUUAAUAAAAGUGGUAUCUUGGUAUGUAUUUAGCAAUGAUGUCCUUUGAAGUGUUUUUUACUUUAUUGUAAUAAAGCAUAUUCAGG
This 573-nucleotide ribosomal RNA is filed under the name Hepatozoon canis. RNAcentral describes it as "bacterial SSU rRNA". It matches the Rfam family "Eukaryotic small subunit ribosomal RNA", at positions 188 to 750 of the family's 1831-position model. The record is from RNAcentral. Lineage: Eukaryota; Apicomplexa; Hepatozoidae.